Molecule: ribosomal RNA, 441 nt
Filed under: Parantica sita
Lineage: Eukaryota; Metazoa; Arthropoda; Insecta; Lepidoptera; Nymphalidae
Description: partial 28S ribosomal RNA
Source: RNAcentral
AAACCUGCGAAACUCGAAUGAACGAACGGAGAGAUUCAUCGUCGCUCGGCGGCGUACGGGCGUGCACCUCGAUGUCGUGCUUGCGUUACUUAUGUUUCGUAUUGUAUGACACGGGUCGCGUCCGUCGACGUUCGCCGAAGGCGUGCACUUCUCUCUUAGUAAUACAUCGCGACCCGUUCGAUGUCGGCAUAAGCGCUGUCCGGGAGUCCAAUUGUCGCGUUCGCGCGGCGGCUGGACCGUGACGGUUGCCUGCCGGCUGUCGGACGGUAGUACAAAAUCGUACAAUAUACGAAUCGCGCACGCGUCAUGAACGCGUCCGGCUCGACGCAAGCCUGCACCGUAUAAAGUCUCUGUCCUGCCAUAGUGCGGACAGUGGCACGGCGCUGCUGUUGUCGCUGCCGUGUUGUCUCGGACUGUGCGCGUAUCCGUCUGCGAUGAUUC